CGUCGUUUGUUAUUCUUCUUCGCGGUGUAGCGUACAACCUCCACAAGAAGAAGAAAAGCUAGGCGCCUUUCUUCAGUAGCUUAGAAGUUCGAACUGUGGAAUUAGCCCAUCACUUCAACGGGGAGGUUCAGGAGAUUGAGGAUGUUAAUUUCAAUGAGUCUGAGCUAAUUUAUCAUGUCAGGAAUGCUCUUAUUUCGGUCCAAUCGGUUUAUUUGGUCAAAUUGGGCUUAUUUGGACUGCAAUGAAAAGUUGAGGGGUUUAUCUGAAAUUAUUUUCAAUAAAAUUGUGUGAGGCAGGCUUCGUCAGAAGCCUAUUCUAUAUAUAUUGGAGAUGGAGCUGACAUUCCUUCCUGAUUAUGCUGAUACAUGUUCAAGACCACCAUACACUGCUUUUGUAAAAUCAUCCCAAGAAUUAAUUCAUUACAGGGAAUUUAAUUGUUGGCAGAUUUUAUAUCUGUUUGGAAGGUAUUAAACUGCCUGUUUGGGAAGAAAGUUAGAUUGUCAUGAUACCCAUCAGAUUUCUCACUUCCAAUAGUCCUCCAAUUGAGUCAAACUGCAAUGAAAAGGAAUUUACUGAUUUGCGCUUUA
Molecule: long non-coding RNA, 587 nt
Organism: Hevea brasiliensis (rubber tree)
Lineage: Eukaryota; Viridiplantae; Streptophyta; Magnoliopsida; Malpighiales; Euphorbiaceae
Exons: 2
Source: RefSeq, a predicted model, not a curated record